AGUCAAGAGAAUAAGAGCACACGGUGGAUGCCUUGGCGCCAAGAGCCGAUGAAGGACGUGGGCGGCUGCGAUAAGCCUCGGGAAGGAGCUGACCAUCCGUUGAUCCGAGGAUUUCCGAAUGGGGAAACCUACGCGUGGUAAUGCGCGCGUACUCCUGCCUGAAUAAAAUAGGGCAGGAAGAGGCAAGCCGGGGAACUGAAACAUCUUAGUACCCGGAGGAAAGGAAAGAAACCUCGACUCCCUGAGUAGUGGCGAGCGAAAAGGGAUCUAGCCCAAACCUGUGCGAUGUGAUAGACGGCAGUCGUUGUCGUGCAGGGGUUGUAGGGCUCGUCUUGAUCCGUCUGCCGGCGGGUCGGGAAGUUACAAAGUCGCGUGUUAGUCGAAUCGACUGGAACGUCGAACCACAGCGGGUAACAGUCCCGUAGGCGAAAACGCGCGGCCUUCCUUGACGAGCUCCUGAGUACGGCCGGGCACGGGAAACCUGGUCGGAACCCGCGGGGACCACCCCGCAAGGCUAAGUACUCCUUGGCGACCGAUAGUGAACUAGUACCGUGAGGGAAAGGUGAAAAGUACCCCGGAAGGGGAGUGAAAUAGCACCUGAAACCGUGUGCUUACAAGCGGUCGGAGCAGGCCAGUCUUUGGCUGGUCCUGUGACGGCGUGCCUUUUGCAUAAUGAGCCAGCGAGUUGCUCUUCAACGGCAAGGUUAAGGAAACGGAGCCGAAGCGAAAGCGAGUCUGAACAGGGCGUUCAGUCGUUGGAGGCAGACCCGAAACUGAGUGAUCUACCCAUGGGCAGGUUGAAGCGGGGGUAAGACCCCGUGGAGGACCGAACCGACGUCGGUUGAAAACGGCGCGGAUGACCUGUGGGUCGGAGUGAAAGGCUAAUCAAACUCAGAGAUAUCUGGUUCUCCCCGAAAUAUAUUUAGGUAUAGCGUCACGCGUUCACUGUUGGUUGUAGAGCACUGUUUGGCCUAGGGGGCCUACCAGCUUACUGAAGUCAGGCAAACUCCGAAUGCCGACAGUCCAGAGCGUGGCAGUCAGACUGUGGGGGAUAAGCUCCAUGGUCGAAAGGGAAACAGCCCAGACCGUCAGCUAAGGCCCCAAAUUCCAGGCUAAGUGGGAAACGAUGUCCGAUUGCUGAGACAACCAGGAUGUUGGCUUAGAAGCAGCCACCAUUCAAAGAGUGCGUAACAGCUCACUGGUCAAGUGAUCGGGCGCGGACAAUGUAACGGGGCUCAAGCCUGGAGCCGAAGCUACGGACUUCACGGUCCUUCGGGGUCGUGGAGUGGUAGGGGAGCGUUCCCAUGCCCGCGAAGCGGCGGCGUAAGCCAGCCGUGGAGGCAUGGGAAGUGAGAAUGCUGGCAUGAGUAACGAAAGAGGGGUGAGAAACCCCUCCGCCGAAUGCCCAAGGGUUCCUGAGUAAAGCUAAUCUGCUCAGGGUUAGUCGGGACCUAAGCCGAGGCCGAAAGGCGUAGGCGAUGGCCAACCGGUUGAUAUUCCGGUACCACGUCCCCACCGCUAUUACCGAUGGCGGGACGGGGUAGGAUAGGGGAUCCCAGGCGAUGGUCGACCUGGGGCAACCGCGUAGGGCGGACGAUAGGCAAAUCCGUCGUCCAUCAAGCCUGAGACGGGAGGCCGACCCCAGAAAUGGGGGAAGUCCCGGAAGCCAUGCCUCCUAGAAAAGCGUCUAGGGAGGUGGGACGUGCCCGUACCAAAACCGACACAGGUGGGCAGGUAGAGAAUACUAAGGCGAUCGGAAGAACCCUCGUUAAGGAACUCGGCAAAAUGGCCCCGUAACUUCGGGAGAAGGGGCGCCCCAGUAGAGUGAGCGGACUUGCUCCGUUAGCUCGAGGGGGCCGCAGUGAAACGGCCCAAGCGACUGUUUACCAAAAACACAGGUCUCUGCGAAGUCGAAAGACGACGUAUAGGGGCUGACGCCUGCCCGGUGCCGGAAGGUCACGAGGAGAGGUUAGCUUUCGGGCAAAGCCUUGAAUCCAAGCCCCGGUAAACGGCGGCGGUAACUAUAACCGUCCUAAGGUAGCGAAAUUCCUUGUCGGGUAAGUUCCGACCUGCACGAAUGGCGUAACGACUUGGGCGCUGUCUCAACGAGGGAUCCGGUGAAAUUGUAGUCUCGGUGAAGAUGCCGAGUACCCGUGGCUGGACGGAAAGACCCCGUGAACCUUUACUGCAGCUUUGCGUUGAAGUCUGGUGUACGUUGUCCAGGAUAGGUGGGAGACUUUGAAGCGGGAACGCUAGUUUCCGUGGAGUCACCCUUGGGAUACCACCCCCCGUGUUCUGGGCUUCUAACCCGGCACCGUUAUCCGGGCCGGGGACAGCGUGAGGUGGGCAGUUUGACUGGGGCGGUCGCCUCCUAAAAUGUAACGGAGGCGCGCAAUGGUUCCCUCAGCACGGUUGGAAAUCGUGCGUAGAGCGCAAAGGCAUAAGGGAGCUUGACUGCGAGACUGACAAGUCGAGCAGGGACGAAAGUCGGCCUUAGUGAUCCGGCGGUGGAGAGUGGAAUCGCCGUCGCUCAACGGAUAAAAGGUACUCCGGGGAUAACAGGCUCAUCCUUCCCAAGAGUCCACAUCGACGGAAGGGUUUGGCACCUCAACAUCUGGGGUGGGUCGGCAGAAAUGCCGGCCAUGUAUCGGCUAAUAACGGCGAAGCCCACGCCUGAGCGUCGAUUCGAUCGGCGCGAAUAAGUUGGGUAAUGCCGUGGGAAGUCUGUCGGAAGUGAGACCAGUAGCUGCACGCUUCCGCAAGUGACCCCGUAACGACUGAGGCCUUCGGGCCGAGGUGGUGUCUCCGCUCCGUAGGAGCACUCUGUGAGCGCCACAACACGCCGACCCCUCGCCUUUGGUCAGGCAGGGUGAAGACAUAGUCUGCGCCGCCGGUAACGGCGGAACAACGUGCGAUGUCGGCUCGUCGCAUCCUGGGGCUGAAGCAGGUCCCAAGGGUUGGGCUGUCCGCCCAUUAAAGCGGCACGCGAGCUGGGUUCAGAACGUCGUGAGACAGUUCGGUCCCUAUCCGCCAUGGGCGUUGGAGGUUUGAGAGGAGUCGUCUCUAGUACGAGAGGACCGAGAUGAACAGGCCUCUGGUGUAUCAGUUGUCCUGCCAAGGGCAUCGCUGAUUAGCCACGCCUGGAUGGGAUAACCGCUGAAAGCAUCUAAGCGGGAAGCCCACCUCGAGAUGAGACCUCCCAUCCCCUAGAGGGAGUAAGGGCCGUGGUAGACCACCACGUCGAUAGGCGGGGCGUGCAAGCGCAGCAAUGCGUUCAGCGAACCCGUACUAAUUGCCCGAGGUCUUGACUUU
This 3312-nucleotide ribosomal RNA is filed under the name Actinomycetota bacterium. RNAcentral's name for it is "23S ribosomal RNA". It matches the Rfam family "Bacterial large subunit ribosomal RNA". The record is from RNAcentral. Lineage: Bacteria; Bacillati; Actinomycetota.